Molecule: transfer RNA, 66 nt
Filed under: Friesea gretae
Lineage: Eukaryota; Metazoa; Arthropoda; Collembola; Poduromorpha; Neanuridae
Also listed under: 1 other name
Description: tRNA-Thr
Source: RNAcentral
GAUUUUAUAAUUUAAAUAUAAAAUAUUGAUUUUGUAAAUCAAUAAUUAGGAUAACCUAUAAAAUCU